UACGUAUGGAGCAAGCGUUAUCCGGAUUUACUGGGCGUAAAGGGAGCGUAGGCGGCCUGCCAAGUCUGAUGUGAAAUACCGGGGCUCAACCCCGGGGCUGCAUUGGAAACUGUCGCGCUCGAGUGUCGGAGAGGUAAGUGGAAUUCCUAGUGUAGCGGUGAAAUGCGUAGAUAUUAGGAGGAACACCAGUGGCGAAGGCGGCUUACUGGACGACAACUGACGCUGAGGCUCGAAAGCGUGGGGAGCAAACAGG
Molecule: ribosomal RNA, 253 nt
Filed under: uncultured Lachnospiraceae bacterium
Lineage: Bacteria; Bacillati; Bacillota; Clostridia; Lachnospirales; Lachnospiraceae
Description: partial 16S ribosomal RNA
Rfam family: Bacterial small subunit ribosomal RNA
Source: RNAcentral